GAUGAACGCUAGCGGCAGGCCUAACACAUGCAAGUCGAGGGAGAAGCCCUUUCGGGGGCAGAAACCGGCGCACGGGUGCGUAACGCGUAUGCAACCUACCUUUCACAGGGGGAUAGCCCGAAGAAAUUUGGAUUAAUACCCCAUAAUAUUAUUGGAUGGCAUCAUCUGAUAAUUAAAGCUACGACGGUGGAAGAUGGGCAUGCGUCCUAUUAGCUAGUUGGAGUGGUAACGGCACCCCAAGGCUACGAUAGGUAGGGGUCCUGAGAGGGAGAUCCCCCACACUGGUACUGAGACAGGGACCAGACUCCUACGGGAGGCAGCAGUGAGGAAUAUUGGUCAAUGGUCGGAAGACUGAACCAGCCAUGCCGCGUGCAGGAAGAAUGCCUUAUGGGUUGUAAACUGCUUUUAUAUGGGAAGAAUAAGGUGUACGUGUACAUUGAUGACGGUACCAUAUG
This 455-nucleotide ribosomal RNA is filed under the name Capnocytophaga gingivalis. RNAcentral describes it as "bacterial SSU rRNA". It matches the Rfam family "Bacterial small subunit ribosomal RNA", at positions 28 to 484 of the family's 1533-position model. The record is from RNAcentral. Lineage: Bacteria; Pseudomonadati; Bacteroidota; Flavobacteriia; Flavobacteriales; Flavobacteriaceae.